Long non-coding RNA from Pan troglodytes (chimpanzee), 1757 nucleotides. The record is from Ensembl. Lineage: Eukaryota; Metazoa; Chordata; Mammalia; Primates; Hominidae.
CUUGGCUUCAUGUAAGCAUCAACAUUAUAUAAAAGACAAUAAUACAUGUCAUCAGUUUCAGGAGUAAAAUUAAGAGAGUUUUGAUUGGAUGAGCCCACAGCGAUUGAAAUCAACCGACCCAUAGGCUUUUGAAGGCCAGAAUGAUUUCCUAUCCACAGAGCAUAAGUAAAUCAGAAACUUGCAGUUGUGUGUGUGAGCCAGCAUUUCAAUAUAAAUAACAUUAAAUUAGGCAUGGCUACUCUACUACAUAUUGCCAUAUCUUCGUCUCACCUUCCGUUUUCUAUUUCUUUCUUCCCUCCAGGUAAACAAGAUAGAAUCAUGGAAUCUUAAGACACGUGUGUGUCUGCGUGGAGGUGAGGUCACAGGCAGAGAAGGCAGUGGAGUGUCAGACUGGGUGUAAGAGUCCCGGUGAGAGUCCGAGGAACCCAUAGAGACGAUGGGAAGCUUCUCUUAUUUUUGAAUGAAAUGACUUCUGAAAGAGAACAUCCUCUGAGGACACACUAAUUCUCCCACCUUUAUGGAAAUUCCUUCUCAGAAGGGGCAGAUUUGCUCAGCACUGAAGCCACGUCCUAGAAGCCUGGGGCUCCGUGUGGAGGGUGAAUGCUGACGGGAGCCUGGGGACCUCAGCUUCGAAAGCCUGUUUCUGCCGCUCACCGCGGGGCCUGCAGGGCUGAGCUUCAUCUUUCUGUGCUUCAUUUCACUGUCAGUGGAAAGAGCAUAAUAUUUUUAUCCCCAGUUUCUUCCAUCCAGAGCCACAGGAGAUUGGAAGUAAGUCACUGGCUCCCAGAUGUUCUCACAGCCAUAGUCUUCACUGCCUGCGAACAACUCAAGAAAUGAGUCUUUCUUCUGUUGCUGUUUGUUCAUACAGAACAAGAUGAGACACAAGCCUCCUGCUUAAUUGGAGUAUUGAAUUUUUGAAAAUGUCUGGUCAUUUUGUUCUUUCUCUUGUUUCCAUCUAGUGUUGCCAUUCUAAUUAGGGAAUGGCAGUGCUAAAAAUACAGAUGUUAACACCAAAUCAGUCCAUCCUAAUUAUCACUCAAAAAUCAAACAUUUUUUAGGGAGGCAAAAACUGUCAUGAGAACUAAAAUUUGAUUUGGAGACUAUUUCACUUAUACAGUUUCUUCACAUGAUGACCAGCCUUCUUUCUUUAGUAAUGGUUAUUACUAUGGCCAUUGCUGUUAAUUCUGUGACUUAUCACUUCCCAUAUAGACCCAAGCACUGAGCUAAGUGUUUCACAGGCAUUAUCGCAUGGAGGGCACUCAACAACGCUAUCAGCUGGCCAUUGUUAUCAUCCUCAUUCUAUAGGGAGGGGUUAAAGAACACUUCCAAGAUCUCAUCGCUGGUCAUUGGUAGCAACAGGGUUUAAAACCAGAUUUGUCCAACUUCAGAACUGUGAUCUCUCUCAUUUGCAACCCUGUCUGCUAAGUAACAUGAUACAGAAUUGGUUAAAUACUUUCCAUAUGAAUGUCUGCAGGUUUAGGAUUUAAAUCAUUCUCUAAAAUGGAUUUUUGAUAUAAUAAAAAUGACCAAUGUAUUCUGUAAAUUGUAUUGCCUAAGUGUGGGAAGAAGGGCUGGAAGCAACGCAGUCAUUGAUUCUGUGGGAAAGGAUGGACAUGAGAGAUGCAGCCGGUCAAUAUAGUCUGUUAUUAAUUUGAAUACCCAAAUAUUAGUCAGAUAUUGUUUGUGUUUCUCAAAAGUGUCAUCUAAUUUUUAUUAUUUUUAAAAUAAUUUUUUAUUUUCACUUAAGUAAUGCGUAC